GACGAACGCUGGCGGCGUGCUUAACACAUGCAAGUUGAACGGGAUUCGUGCUCAACACCGAGCAUUUGGAAUGGUCAGAAGCGUAUAAGCGCGAAGCGUUUUACACGAAGAAGCCACAGCCAAUGCUGGGUGUUGAGCAUGAUGAGAGUAGCGGACGGGCGAGUAACGCGUGAGUAACCUGCCCUUUGCUGGGGGAUAACAUCGGGAAACCGGUGCUAAUACCGCAUAAGACCACAGUGCCACAUGGUACGGCGGUCAAAGCUCCGGCGGCAGAGGAUGGACUCGCGUCCAAUUAGCUAGUUGGUAGGGUAAUGGCCUACCAAGGCGACGAUUGGUAUCCGAACUGAGAGGUUGAUCGGACGCAUUGGGACUGAGACACGGCCCAGACUCCUACGGGAGGCAGCAGUGGGGAAUAUUGCGCAAUGGGGGCAACCCUGACGCAGCAACGCCGCGUGAAGGAUGAAGGCUUUCGGGUUGUAAACUUCUUUGAUC
RNAcentral lists this ribosomal RNA (492 nucleotides) under uncultured bacterium. RNAcentral's name for it is "bacterial SSU rRNA". It matches the Rfam family "Bacterial small subunit ribosomal RNA", at positions 28 to 440 of the family's 1533-position model. The record is from RNAcentral.